AAUCAACGCUGGCGGCGUGCCUAACACAUGCAAGUCGAACGAGAAAGUGGAGCAAUCCAUGAGUAAAGUGGCGCACGGGUGAGUAACACGUGACUAACCUACCCUUGAGUGGGGGAUAACUGGGAGAAAUCCUAGCUAAUACCGCAUAAUACCUACGGGUCAAAGGAGCAAUUCGCUCGAGGAGGGGGUCGCGGUCGAUUAGUUAGUUGGCGGGGUAAUGGCCCACCAAGACUGUGAUCGAUAUCCGGCCUGAGAGGGCGCACGGACACA
Molecule: ribosomal RNA, 270 nt
Filed under: uncultured bacterium
Lineage: Bacteria
Description: partial 16S ribosomal RNA
Rfam family: Bacterial small subunit ribosomal RNA
Source: RNAcentral